CUGAACCAGCCAAGUAGCGUGAAGGAUGACUGCCCUAUGGGUUGUAAACUUCUUUUAUAUUAGAAUAAAGUGCAGUAUGUAUACUGUUUUGUAUGUAUAAUAUGAAUAAGGAUCGGCUGACUCCGUGCCAGCAGCCGCGGUAAUACGGAGGAUCCGAGCGUUAUCCGGAUUUAUUGGGUUUAAAGGGAGCGUAGGUGGUCUGGUAAGUCAGUUGUGAAAGUUUGCGG
This 227-nucleotide ribosomal RNA is filed under the name uncultured bacterium. RNAcentral describes it as "partial 16S ribosomal RNA". It matches the Rfam family "Bacterial small subunit ribosomal RNA", at positions 383 to 607 of the family's 1533-position model. The record is from RNAcentral.